Molecule: unclassified non-coding RNA, 983 nt
Filed under: Hevea brasiliensis (rubber tree)
Lineage: Eukaryota; Viridiplantae; Streptophyta; Magnoliopsida; Malpighiales; Euphorbiaceae
Source: RNAcentral
AUUAUUCAUUCGUUAAAAUUUAUUUAACCCCUUAAUGUCUCAAAUAAUGACAUUGUAUUACAUUUUAAAAAAAGUAAGGUUGAACUAGAACUGGACCCAAAACGGGGUCUAAUUUUGUUGAAUUGGGACCCAACUAGAAUUGUAACCACUUUAGAAUUGGACCGGAACCUGCUUGGAGCUGGAAUGGGUUGGAAAUAGACUAAUCCAGUUUGAUUCUAAUUUAAAUUGGUUGGAGGGUGUGAUUUGUAAGUUAUGGCCUGGAACUGGCCUGGAAUCGAACCGAUGGCCAAGAAAUGCCCAUAGUUAAAGGUGCACCUGAGGUGAGGGGUGUACAGAGUGUGGGAAACGUUGCCUAAAACCUAGGAAGGCAGGCGACCUCACUGGGGUGCCCCAGGCCUUAGUGAGGCCAACUUCUUUGUAGACAGCUGGGAGGAAACAAUAGCAACAAGGUAGCAAUGAACCCAAAAUGAGAAGAUGGAUGUAGCCUCGAAUCUAAGGUCCUUCCAAAUUAAUUCUAGAAGACUCAAGGGAGGGAAUAACGAAAUGGGAGUCGAAGCAUGUGAUGUGUGAGCUAUACCAAUUGGAGUUAGUUGAGAGGGAAGAGCAUAAAUAGUAGUAGUGUUGGGAAUAAAGGGUAGGUUGGGUGUGGUUUUAAUUACUGGGUUUCCAGUGGGCGACUAUCUUUUGCACGAGAAUUUUCUUGGGGGCUUAUAGUGGUCAUUUUGAAUUGUUAUUUGGUUAUUUCGUUUGUACUACUUGACAAAAUUGAAUUAGCAGAGUAUCUCUGGUUUUGAUUUUAAUCCUUCUUGUACUGCUGUCAUUAUCAGUAAUACAAAUUAGUUUUCUUUUUUCAAUUUCUUUUGUUUGAUAUAUUUUAUCUGGUUGUGUUAUGGACGUAUUGUGGGACCCUUCGCAAAGCUGAUUGAACGUUUGAGAUGUACUUUCUAUUAUUAUUGGAGAUUAAUUCUUGUUUUAAUUAAGAG